GAAAUGCGAUAAGUAAUGUGAAUUGCAGAAUUCAGUGAAUCAUCGAAUCUUUGAACGCACAUUGCGCCCCCUGGUAUUCCGGGGGGCAUGCCUGUCCGAGCGUCAUUACUGCCCUCAAGCGCGGCUUGUGUGUUGGGCGUUCGCCCCCCGUGGGGGCGUGCCCGAAAGGCAGUGGCGGCGCCGUGCCCGGUCCUCGAGCGUAUGGGGCUCUGUCACCCGCUCUGGAGGCCUGGCCGGCUGCCGUCGACCCCUCAGACCUUAUUACCGGUUGACCUCGGAUCAGGCAGGGAUACCCGCUGAACUUAA
RNAcentral lists this unclassified non-coding RNA (306 nucleotides) under uncultured Eurotiomycetes. Its description in RNAcentral is "sequence contains ITS1". The stretch from base 1 to 105 matches the Rfam family "5.8S ribosomal RNA", at positions 50 to 154 of the family's 154-position model. Lineage: Eukaryota; Fungi; Ascomycota; Eurotiomycetes. The record is from RNAcentral.